This 279-nucleotide long non-coding RNA is filed under the name Vigna radiata. RNAcentral's name for it is "long non-coding RNA (VRAD_LNC011699)". The record is from RNAcentral. Lineage: Eukaryota; Viridiplantae; Streptophyta; Magnoliopsida; Fabales; Fabaceae.
GCUGGUUGACUAAUGGCUCGUCGUUUCCUAGUGUCAUUGUUGUUUCUACGAGCUGUUUUCUCGAUCUCAGGGUCGACAAGGANUGGUUCAGAUGACACAGUCCUCCUUGUACGAAUAGUUCCCUGCAUACACUAGAGAACAACCAAACUCGAGCCACAAGUUAGCUCCAAAAAUAUGAAAAUAGUAAUUACUAUAAAAAAGAAAAUUAUAAACAAAAGAAUAAAGUCUAAAUUAGUUAAAAAUCACACAAAAGUCUAGUUUGAACACCGAGUCCCCGGC